Molecule: ribosomal RNA, 490 nt
Filed under: Saagaromyces mangrovei
Lineage: Eukaryota; Fungi; Ascomycota; Sordariomycetes; Microascales; Halosphaeriaceae
Description: SSU rRNA
Rfam family: Eukaryotic small subunit ribosomal RNA
Source: RNAcentral
UACGGCGAAACUGCGAAUGGCUCAUUAUAUAAGUUAUCGUUUAUUUGAUAGCACGUUACUACUUGGAUAACCGUGGUAAUUCUAGAGCUAAUACAUGCUAAAAAUCCCGACUCCGGAAGGGAUGUAUUUAUUAGAUUAAAAGCCAAUGCCCUCUGGGCUCACAGGUGAUUCAUGAUAACUUCUCGAAUCGCAUGGCCUUGCGCCGGCGAUGGUUCAUUCAAAUUUCUUCCCUAUCAACUUUCGAUGCGAAGGUCUUGUCUUCGCAUGGUUACAACGGGUAACGGAGGGUUAGGGCUCGACCCCGGAGAAGGAGCCUGAGAGACGGCUACUACAUCCAAGGAAGGCAGCAGGCGCGCAAAUUACCCAAUCCCGACACGGGGAGGUAGUGACAAAAAAUACUGAUACAGGGCUCUUUUGGGUCUUGUAAUUGGAAUGAGUACAAUUUAAAUCCCUUAACGAGGAACAAUUGGAGGGCAAGUCUGGUGGACGU